AACAACUCAUUGAAAGCUUGAAGCAGAUAGAAUGGAAUCUGAGCAGUAGCUACUUCAGGUGCUGGGGUGAGUGUCGUUUUAUCCUUUUAAAUUCUUGUUAUUGGUAAUUUAAAAUGUUUUCAAUAAUCAUGCAUUACCUGUAUGACGUUUUUAAAAAAAAAAAAAAAAAUCCAUGGUCUCUUUCAGCUGGGCAGCCUGCGGCGGGGUAAUCUGUCAGGUGAGGGUCAUCAAGGUGAUCAGGCUGAGAGGAUGGACCAGAUACAAAGUGGGAGAGGCGAAGAGGCCCAGUUCCAGGGCCGGGGGCGAGGGGUGGGCGGUCCAAAGGGCACCGCCCCUGCGGGUCACGUGCUCGCCGGCCACCAAUGGCCGCCUCCGAGCCCACCUUGGGGACGGGGCGGGGCGCCUGGCUGGCGUCACCAGGACAACGGGCGUCGCCGGCGCCGUGUGACUUCGGGCUGUGGGCUAGCUCGCGGCUCUUCGGCCAUGGUUUUCUCAAACAAUGAUGAAGGCCUUAUUAACAAAAAGUUACCCAAAGAACUUCUGUUAAGAAUAUUUUCCUUCUUGGAUAUAGUAACUUUGUGCCGAUGUGCACAGAUUUCCAAGGCUUGGAACAUCUUAGCCCUGGAUGGAAGCAACUGGCAAAGAAUAGAUCUUUUUAACUUUCAAACAGAUGUAGAGGGUCGAGUGGUGGAAAAUAUCUCGAAGCGAUGCGGUGGAUUCCUGAGGAAGCUCAGCUUGCGAGGCUGCAUUGGUGUUGGGGAUUCCUCCUUGAAGACCUUUGCACAGAAUUGCCGAAACAUUGAACAUUUGAACCUCAAUGGAUGCACAAAAAUCACUGACAGCACGUGUUAUAGCCUUAGCAGAUUCUGUUCCAAGCUGAAACAUCUGGAUCUGACCUCCUGUGUGUCUAUUACAAACAGCUCCUUGAAGGGGAUCAGUGAGGGCUGCCGAAACCUGGAGUACCUGAACCUCUCUUGGUGUGAUCAGAUCACGAAGGAUGGCAUCGAGGCACUGGUGCGAGGUUGUCGAGGCCUGAAAGCCCUGCUCCUGAGGGGCUGCACACAGUUAGAAGAUGAAGCUCUGAAACACAUUCAGAAUUACUGCCAUGAGCUUGUGAGCCUCAACUUGCAGUCCUGCUCACGUAUCACGGAUGAAGGUGUGGUGCAGAUAUGCAGGGGCUGUCACCGGCUGCAGGCUCUCUGCCUUUCGGGUUGCAGCAACCUCACAGAUGCCUCUCUUACAGCUCUGGGUUUGAACUGUCCGCGACUGCAAAUUUUGGAGGCUGCCCGAUGCUCCCAUUUGACUGACGCAGGUUUUACACUUUUAGCUCGGAAUUGCCACGAAUUGGAGAAGAUGGAUCUUGAAGAAUGCAUCCUGAUAACCGACAGCACACUCAUCCAGCUCUCCAUUCACUGUCCUAAACUGCAAGCCCUGAGCCUGUCCCACUGUGAACUCAUCACAGAUGAUGGGAUCCUGCACCUGAGCAACAGCACCUGUGGCCAUGAGAGGCUGCGGGUACUGGAGUUGGACAACUGCCUCCUCAUCACUGAUGUGGCCCUGGAACACCUAGAGAACUGCCGAGGCCUGGAGCGCCUUGAGCUGUACGACUGCCAGCAGGUUACCCGUGCAGGCAUCAAGCGGAUGCGGGCUCAGCUCCCUCAUGUCAAAGUCCACGCCUACUUUGCUCCCGUCACCCCACCGACAGCAGUGGCAGGAAGUGGACAGCGACUGUGCAGGUGCUGUGUCAUUCUCUGACAGCAGCUGCCUGGGCCCAAGGGGUGAUGAGGCAUCCUUUCCUCUAGAAGACCUGAGUCUUCCUGACCUACUCCACCAUCACCCCAUCUGUUGAUUCUCCAUUGGGAAAGGCAUUUACAGUUUCCCAACAGGCACCUAUCAAGAUUUAAGAAUGGCGAAGACAAGAAAGGAUUUAUAAGCAACAUCUGACAUCACGUGGUGACCUGAAACAUGGCUCUGACCUAGUUAGUGCUCCUUGUGCCCUCUUCCCUAAUGAGCAGCCUCACCAGUACCCAUUUGCUUCUUUGAUACCUCUAAAGGCUAAUAAUCCUCAAGACAGACCAGACAGGCCCAGCAUCAAAAUACAUCAACUGUGUACAGUACUACAUCUAUCCAUCUGUCUGUCUGUCUGUCUAUCUAUCUAUCUAUCUUUCUUUUAUAUUUUCUGGAAGGUGGUGAACUUUAAUAUUUUCCAGCUCCAGGCAAAAUUCUGACCAGAAACAGAACAAAGACACGGAGAUACACUAUUACAAUUAGGAGGUUGAAAAAGUCAAAGUCAAAAGCAUGCUAAGCAUGCCAGAGUAAUCUCAAAUACAAGUCUUCAGACUUGAGAUACAGACAUCACAUGGUGUGAUUUCACUUUACAGGUAUUCUUUCUAAAAACCAAUGGAUCUGAGGACUCAGUUUCAAGGGUCCCCUUUUAUAAUCAUCCUUCUCUCACUUUACACAAGAAAGGCAUCACAUCUAACUAUAGCCCUGGGGUUUAAGACUCUCCCAGGCUGGACACGGUGACUCACGCCCCUCAUCCCAGCGCUUUGCAAUGCCAAGGCGGGAGCCCAGGAUAGCCCAGGAUAGCUUGAGCCCAGGAGUUCAAGACCAGCCUGGGCAACACAGUGAGACCCUGUUUCUACCAAAAAAUAAAAACAAUAAAAUAAAUAUAAUGAGGCUGGGCGCGGUGGCUCACGCCUGUAAUCCCAGCACUCUGGGAGGCUGAGGCGGGUGGAUCACGAGGUCAGGAGAUUGAGACCAUCCUGGCUAACAUGGUGAAACCCCGUCUCUACUAAAAAUACAAAAACUUAGCUGGGCGUAGUGGCAUGUGCCCGUAAUCUCAGCUACUCAGGAGGCUGAGGCAGGAGAAUCGCUUGAACCUGGGAGGUGGAGGUUGCAGUGAGCUGAGAUCAUGCCAUUAUACUCCAGCCUGGGUGACAGAGCGAGACUCCAUCUCAAAAAAAAUGAAAAUAGAUAAAUAAGUAAAUAUAAUGAAGAAAGACUCUUCCAAAGCCAAGCUAAAGAUACUAGGAUUAAAAAAAAAAAGAAAAAAUAGCCAGGUGUGGUGGUGCACACCUGUAGUCACAGCUACUUGGGAGUCUGAGACAGGAGAAUUGCUUGAAUCUGGGAAGGGGAGGCUGCAGUGAGCCAUGACUACACCACUGAACUCCAGCUUGGGUAACAGAGUGAGACCCCCAUCUUGAAAAAAAGGAAAGGAAAAGUACAUAACUCUAAUGAUUAAGUUUUUCUGUAAGUCAGGUGAUUUUCAAUUAUUUGCUAUCAAAAUAAUUCAGGAGGACCUAUUGUCAACUGACAUAUAUUGAAAUAAUCUAGUAGAUCACACAAAAAUGUCCCUGGGAUUUUUGACAGAUGAUUCAAAAGGACUUCCAGGACCUGAAUGACACUGCUGAAAGAAAAAUUAAAACAAAAUUUCUCAUAUCUAUAAAAUUCUAGAAGUUAUAUUCUAUCCUGUCUCAUCAUUCAAUAUGCAUUUCCAAUAAUAUUUCUAUUUUUACAUUUAAUAAAUAUUCAUCAAAAUCUGUAGGAUUUGUUGUUCUGAUAAAUUGGUACUAAUAAGAAGUUUUAAAUAUCUUGACUGAGUUAAGAGGCUAUGGUCACAGCAAAUUUUAAAAAUUAAAUUUCAAUUUAUGUAAAUUUGUUGUAAUUUUUUUAGGGUGAUCAUUUAAAAAUUUCAGUUUCAUCAUUUGAAGCCUCAGGAAGAAAAAAUAAAAAUCAAUAAGAAAAAAAUUUUUAAAGAUGUUCAGGCAUAAAACUAUGUCAUAUUAGGAUAAAAUUUAAGGGGAGUGAAAUAGAAACAUGAGACCAAGAAGGAAGUAAAAUUUUGGAUUUAAUGAAUUUUUUGAAUGAACAACAGCAGUGGUCAAACCGCCAUGGCAUUUAGAUUCCACAGGAUGCACUUCCAGAGUAAUGUCACAGUUUUAUCUUAAAUUGUAAAUGCAAAUCACCACCACGCCAGAACACUGCCUCCUUUGCAGCUAUUUAAAUUUAUGAUGAAAAAACUUUAUGAUGAAAACUUUCAGAUGUCGAUCUGGAAAGGUGCAAGUAUAUCCUUUUUCAAAAUUCUCUUGAGGCAAGGCAUGGUGGCUCAUGCCUAUAAUCCCAGCACUUUCGGAGGCCAAGGUGGGAGGAUCAUUCUGAGGCCAGGAGUUGGAGAUCAGCCUGAGGAACACAGCGAGAACCUGUCUCAAGUGUCUUGCAUCACUUGAGCCAAGGAGUUUGAGGUUGCAGUGAACUUUGAUCACACUACUGCACUCCAGGCCCAGGUGACUGGGCAAGACACUGUCUCUAAAAAAAUUUAAAAAUUAUUUUGAGUAGGUAAGUGUCAAGACCACUUGGUGUAAUGGAGCUAAGAAACUGUGAAGCACAAUGAGGGCAGAAAUUAAGUCUCACCAAUGGCUACAGGGGCUUAAAAUGCUUGGUCUGACAUCCAUCAAGCAAUGGAUACAUGGAAAAUAAUCUCAACUACCCAAUUAUGUAUCCCCUUAAAAAAGAAAAAUGAUUGCAGACUUAUUACUUCUAUUAUCAGUCAGCUUUCAAAAAAGAAAUCUAAUCUAGCUGGAGAGCUCUGAAUAAACUUAUUGCAUGGCAUAGCAACUCUGCUAUAAAUUACAUUUUACACAACAAUGCCCAUUCUUUUAAAAUUAGGGCCUUUUAAGCCAGGUGUGAUGGCACACACACACACCUGUGGUCCAACUACUCAGAAGUCUGAGGCAGGAGGACUGCUUGAGGAGUUUGAGGUCAGCCUUGGCAAUACAGUGAAAGCCCAUCUCAAAAAAAUAAAUAAAUAAACAACUAAAAAACUAGACCCUUCUUUUUCUUUCCACCUUACAAAGUAUCACCUCCUCAGUUUACACUGUUUGAUGAACCCAAGACCCUGUGAGCUGACUAGCAAAUCUAAUCAUGGGUAUCACACACUGUCACCUCACCUCUACUAUCUGAAAGAUUUUCCUGCUACAACAUCCCCCUGCACAUAUAAAACAUAAUACAGCAUAACAUACACGUAUAAAUAAUGUAAACCAUUUAAUAUUAAAAGUAUCAAGUCUCUCUAAACUUUUGGUAAUUAUUGCCAGCCAUUUGAAGAAAUGAAGCCAUCAAAAUGCUUCAAGUUAGCAUGGCAGAGUAAUGUAGAAACACCAAGUUUACCAAAACUCCAUAAAUACCCAUUUUGCUUUUAGAUAUUUAGAUUCUUCUAACAUUCGAUAAGCGAGCAAUGGUGCAGUGCCUAUGCUCCUGAAUUCAUAACGGCGCUAGCAAUGCCUGGCCUGGGCUCAUAGUUAUGGUUUCGGUAUACUGUGAACACAGUCCCUCCCCAGGUAAAGAAUGAUCACCCAUUUUAGGCUGUAGAAAUUGGCAGUCAUAAUUUGAGCCAAUCAUAUACAGCUCAGAGAUGAAGACCAACAGACACACUAAGAGUUUUGUUGUACAGCAUCUCCUGGUAACCAACAGUAGUGACUAUUCAGUGUGCGACCAUUUCAUUCGGCAUCUUUUCGACUCUAACAGUAAGUCUGGAUAUCCCUUUUUACUGAAAGCCAAUUGUAACUAGCCAAAAACUCUAUGAAAUGUUGGCCUUCCUUUGUAGGAAUUUGAAGAAACAUGAAAUUCUGCAAACUUUCUCUUUUAAGGGAUCAAUCUGUACCCUGCUUUUUUAAAAACAGGUUUUCAAGAUGAGCUCUAACCACCCCUAGAAGCAUCUGAACAAAAUCAAAUACAGCCAGGGCAGUAAGCAAUACAUGAGGAAGAUGUGAAAUCCCAGGCCAGUGAACUGCUGACGUUUUGCAUACUUUAGACUUGAGUUAAGAAUCAUUAAGAAUUUACCAACAGUUUUCCCAUCUUCAGAUUAUCUCUGGGCUAUAAUGAAUUUCUUUUAUUUAGGAAUUACCAGAACCCACUUCUUUAUUAGUUAAAUGGUUUAUAACAGGAGAGGAAAAGUGAGUUGCCAGAAUCCCCCGCAAAGAAGUUUACUAAGAACCACUGGUGGGUCUUCAGCUGAGAAAUCAGAAGAAGAUUAAAAACAAAAUUGCUGGGGCGGCUGUUUUAGGAAAGAAUAUACAGCUGUUUUAACAAUCUUUGAUUCGAUUUAAAAAAAAAAAAAAAAAGCCCAGUUAAAGAAAAUGUGACGUGUGCUUCCAGUGGCACUAGGAUGAGUACAAUUUCAGUUUCAUUGCAUAGAGAAGCAUUAAAACAUUUUUAUUCGAUACUAUAAUUGGAAAUGAGUUUCUUGUGAUAGUGCUUGUGACAGUAACAUUCAAAGUCUACAUUUAACCACAGUAAUUGUGAUAUGUGUAAGAAUGAAAAAUCCUCUGGUACUUUAAUAGUGCAAAGACUGCAACAGUGAAUACAGCAGUCAUGAAUACAUAUGAUGACAAUUAUUUUAAAUGAUUCUUUAAUGUUCUGUGUUUAUAUUUACUGAAGGUAUGUAGCUGAUGUAAGUUUGCAAAAGCAGGAUCAUCCUUUGUGGACUAAUAGAUGAAGAGUCAUGUCAUAAAAUAAAGAUUUGCUAUACUUAACUGGACAAAGCACAUAUUCAACCAGAUGCCCCCUG
This is an RNA transcript of Pongo pygmaeus (Bornean orangutan), 6565 nucleotides long. It is a transcript of the gene named F-box and leucine rich repeat protein 2, with no coding region annotated. Lineage: Eukaryota; Metazoa; Chordata; Mammalia; Primates; Hominidae. The record is from RefSeq and is a predicted model, not a curated record. The transcript is spliced from 16 exons.